This 371-nucleotide ribosomal RNA is filed under the name uncultured organism. RNAcentral describes it as "bacterial SSU rRNA". It matches the Rfam family "Bacterial small subunit ribosomal RNA", at positions 526 to 896 of the family's 1533-position model. The record is from RNAcentral.
CGUAGGGGCAAGCGUUGUCCGGAUUUAUUGGGCGUAAAGCGCUCGCAGGUGGUUCGUCGCGUCGUGCGUGAAAGACCCCGGCUCAACUGGGGAGGGUCGUGCGAUACGGGCGGACUGGAGGCCAGUAGGGGGAUGCGGAAUUCCGGGUGUAGUGGUGGAAUGCGUAGAGAUCCGGAGGAACACCAGCGGCGAAGGCGGCAUCCUGGACUGGUCCUGACACUCAGGAGCGAAAGCGUGGGGAGCGAUCCGGAUUAGAUACCCGGGUAGUCCACGCUGUAAACGAUGCGCACUAGGUGUCGGGGGUAUCGACCCCCUCGGUGCCGCAGCUAACGCGAUAAGUGCGCCGCCUGGGGACUACGGCCGCAAGGCUA